GCUUACCUAGGGCUACUGCAACCUCUACCAAUCUCUAAUUAAAAUUGGAGUCACAUAAGCACGGACUUUACCGAAGGAUUGCCAAAAUCCAGGUCCAAAGAUGUGAUGCUAGUAGUAGUGGACAUUGCAAUUAAAGUAUGCUCAUUUUGUUGUCCUCUCCCAUCCUUUUAAUACAGAUAGUACAAAUUUUGGAAGAAGAUGCAUUGUUUACAUGGCACUCCUAAGUCAAUUGUAUCUCAUACAAACAAAGAAAUUCUUGGCAGUCCUAGUUUAAAUUAUUGGGUACUCAACUACACUUUUGCACUGCCCAUUACCCUCAAAUUGAUGGCCAGACUGAGAGAGUGAAUAAGUUCAUU
RNAcentral lists this unclassified non-coding RNA (356 nucleotides) under Hevea brasiliensis (rubber tree). Lineage: Eukaryota; Viridiplantae; Streptophyta; Magnoliopsida; Malpighiales; Euphorbiaceae. The record is from RNAcentral.